GAUGAACGCUGGCGGCGUGCUUAACACAUGCAAGUCGAACGAAGCAUUUAGAACAGAUUAUUUCGGUAUGAAGUUCUUUAUGACUGAGUGGCGGACGGGUGAGUAACGCGUGGGUAACCUGCCUUGUACUGGGGGAUAGCAGCUGGAAACGGCUGGUAAUACCGCAUAAGCGCACGGUGCUGCAUGGCACAGUGUGAAAAACUCCGGUGGUAUAAGAUGGACCCGCGUCUGAUUAGCUAGUUGGUGAGAUAACAGCCCACCAAGGCGACGAUCAGUAGCCGACCUGAGAGGGUGACCGGCCACAUUGGGACUGAGACACGGCCCAAACUCCUACGGGAGGCAGCAGUGGGGAAUAUUGCACAAUGGGGGAAACCCUGAUGCAGCGACGCCGCGUGAGUGAUGACGGCC
This 408-nucleotide ribosomal RNA is filed under the name uncultured bacterium. RNAcentral describes it as "bacterial SSU rRNA". It matches the Rfam family "Bacterial small subunit ribosomal RNA", at positions 28 to 416 of the family's 1533-position model. The record is from RNAcentral.